Molecule: long non-coding RNA, 847 nt
Organism: Prionailurus viverrinus (fishing cat)
Lineage: Eukaryota; Metazoa; Chordata; Mammalia; Carnivora; Felidae
Exons: 4
Source: RefSeq, a predicted model, not a curated record
GAAACCUGAUUUUCUUCCCCAAGGGCUUCCCUCCCUUUUACGGUAUCUAGAGCGCAACUCUCGAGACUUGCCGUAAAGGGAAACAUCAUUCCGCGUGGUAGCUUUUGGGGAAAGAAUGAGUUUUUCCUUUGAAGCUGCUCUGUAUGAUUUUUGCGUUUUAGGUGACUGACUUCUGAAGCCGAUUUGAUAGCAGUUUGUCUUUACAGAACUAAGUUAGUUGUUCCCCCACCGGCCAUUGCACCUGUUGUUGAUUCAGUCAGUAAACAUUUAUGGGAUGCCUUUACAUAUGCCAGGCACUUACCUGUGCCAUGAGGAAUAAGUUGAAACCCAUUCUCGUUUCUGGAAGCAUUCACAGUUCAAUGGAGGAAACAAUUGACGUGCAACAGGAGAUGCGUCAUAUUAAUUACCUGAUUGCUUGCACAAGAUAGGCCUAACUUCGGAAGCCCAUCUGCAAGAUUGCCUCCUGAAAUGAGACACAACUAUUUAACUGAACUGACCUAUUCCCAAGACUGAGGUUGAUUCUUUGAGCUAUGGAGUUAUCUACCAGUUUGGCUUCUGGAUACUUCUUCAAAGUUUUAAAGGGAAGAUCAUCCCCAGCCCUGUGUGAUUAAGAAUGGCGAGAAUAAUCACCAUGGCACAAGCAGCUCAAAUACUCAGGGAGACUGAACACAUAACUGCCCACUGUAGGAAAGGGCUUUUUAGAAACUGCUGGAGGAAGUUGGAUUCAGUUGUCCAAGGACCGUGGCUCAUAACCCAACACGACUGGGGAAGUGAGGUGACUCAGUGGCCCCUGAAGGAUGCAGAUCCAGUCGGUGACCCAUGAAACUCGGCCUUCACAUAUGUCCAG